AUUGAACGCUGGCGGCAUGCCUUACACAUGCAAGUCGAACGGUAACAGGGAGCUUGCUCCGCUGACGAGUGGCGAACGGGUGAGUAAUGUAUCGGAACGUACCUUUCAGUGGGGGAUAACGUAGCGAAAGUUACGCUAAUACCGCAUAUUCUGUGAGCAGGAAAGCAGGGGAUCGCAAGACCUUGCGCUGAUUGAGCGGCCGAUAUCAGAUUAGCUAGUUGGUGAGGUAAAGGCUCACCAAGGCGACGAUCUGUAGCGGGUCUGAGAGGAUGAUCCGCCACACUGGAACUGAGACACGGUCCAGACUCCUACGGGAGGCAGCAGUGGGGAAUUUUGGACAAUGGGGGCAACCCUGAUCCAGCCAUGCCGCGUGAGUGAAGAAGGCCUUCGGGUUGUAAAGCUCUUUCGGCCGGGAAGAAAUCGCAUGGGUUAAUACCCUGUGCGGAUGACGGUACCGGCAUAAGAAGCACCGGCUAACUACGUG
This 484-nucleotide ribosomal RNA is filed under the name uncultured bacterium. RNAcentral describes it as "bacterial SSU rRNA". It matches the Rfam family "Bacterial small subunit ribosomal RNA", at positions 30 to 507 of the family's 1533-position model. The record is from RNAcentral.